Molecule: transfer RNA, 74 nt
Filed under: Pseudomonadota bacterium
Lineage: Bacteria; Pseudomonadati; Pseudomonadota
Also listed under: 1 other name
Description: tRNA-Gly
Rfam family: tRNA
About the family: Transfer RNA (tRNA) molecules are approximately 80 nucleotides in length. Their secondary structure includes four short double-helical elements and three loops (D, anti-codon, and T loops).
Source: RNAcentral
GCGGGUGUAGCUCAAUGGUAGAGCAGCAGCUUCCCAAGCUAAAGACGAGGGUUCGAUUCCCUUCACCCGCUCCA